RNAcentral lists this ribosomal RNA (433 nucleotides) under uncultured bacterium. Its description in RNAcentral is "partial 16S ribosomal RNA". It matches the Rfam family "Bacterial small subunit ribosomal RNA", at positions 29 to 507 of the family's 1533-position model. The record is from RNAcentral.
AACGAACGCUGGCGGCAUGCCUAACACAUGCAAGUCGAACGAGACCUGCGGGUCUAGUGGCGCACGGGUGCGUAACGCGUGGGAACCUGCCCUUAGGUUCGGAAUAACUCGCCGAAAGGGGUGCUAAUACCGGAUAAUGUCUUCGGACCAAAGAUUUAUCGCCUUUGGAUGGGCCGGCGUUGGAUUAGCUAGUUGGUAGGGUAAAAGCCUACCAAGGCGACGAUCCAUAGCUGGUCUGAGAGGAUGAUCAGCCACACUGGGACUGAGACACGGCCCAGACUCCUACGGGAGGCAGCAGUGGGGAAUAUUGGACAAUGGGCGAAAGCCUGAUGCAGCAAUGACGCGUGAGUGAUGAAGGUCUUAGGGUUGUAAAGCUAUUUUACCCGGGAUGAUAAUGACAGUACCGGGAGAAUAAGCUCCGGCUAACUCCGUG